UACGGAGGGUGCAAGCGUUAUCCGGAUUCACUGGGUUUAAAGGGUGCGUAGGUGGGCAGUUAAGUCAGUGGUGAAAUCUCCGGGCUUAACCCGGAAACUGCCAUUGAUACUAUCUGUCUUGAAUAUCGUGGAGGUAAGCGGAAUAUGUCAUGUAGCGGUGAAAUGCUUAGAUAUGACAUAGAACACCAAUUGCGAAGGCAGCUUACUAAGCUUUAACUGACGCUGAGGCACGAAAGUGUGGGGAUCAAACAGG
Molecule: ribosomal RNA, 253 nt
Filed under: uncultured bacterium
Lineage: Bacteria
Description: partial 16S ribosomal RNA
Rfam family: Bacterial small subunit ribosomal RNA
Source: RNAcentral